AAGUCUGAGACAUUUAUCUCUGUCUGUGUGAUGGGGGAGGAGACAGAAGAGAGAAUGUGAGAUGAAGAAAGAAAAUGAAAUAAAAGCAGCACCUUGCAUGUUUUAUACAAAAAGAAAGAAAGGAAGGAAGGAAGGAAGGAAGGAAGGAAGGAAGGAAGGAAGGAAGGAAGAAAGUAAGAAAGAAAGAAAGAAAGAAAGAGAAAGAGAGAAAGAAAGAGAGAAAGAGGGAGGGAGGGAGAGAAGGAAGGAAAGAAAGAAAGAGAGAAAAAAAAGAGCGAGAAAAAGAGAGAUAGAGAAAAAAAAAAGACUUGUUGAGGAGUUCCUCUUGUGGCUCAGCGGGUUAAGAACCAGACAUAGUAUCCAUGAGGAUGUAGGUUUGAUCCCUGGCCUCACCCAGUGGGUUAUGGAUCCGACAUUGCCAUGAGCUGCAGUGUAGUUUGCUGAUGUGGCUUGGAUCUGGUAUUGCUUGUGGCUGUGGCAUAAGCUGAUUGGACCCUUUGCCUAGGAACUUCGAUAUGCUGCAGGUGCAGUCAUGAAAAGGCAAAAAAGAAAAAAAGUUAUUGCAAUAAAAAGAAGUGAAGAAAAUGUAAACAUCCUUUCGGGAAACUUGGCAGGAAAAUCCAUGGUCCUCUGGGCAGUGAGUUUGGUUCUCUCAGUGGAUCUUGGAUUAACCUAGGAAUUUAAAAGCCUGUAGUCUAUUAACUUGGUAUUCAAGUCACCUCCCGCUGCCUCCUACUUUCAAGGUGACCUUGGACACGAUUCAGAGUUUUGGUUUUCUUCCCCAUAAUGGGGAAGAAUAAUAAUACCUACCUCUUAGGUUAUGGUAAGAAUUAAAUGAGAUAAUAUACAGAAAUCUUCUAACACCAGGCUUGACAAAUAAUCAGGUCUUUGUGAAUGCUGGAAAGUAUAAGUUGCACAACGCUUUGUGUUUAUUUGGCUUUUUAAUGGGAUUUCCAAAAUUCUGUCCUAUGAGGAAAACAGAUGUAUUUUAAUCUCCUUUCUUUCUCUCCCCACUCUGCAGCUCUCAACAAACACAUCUGCAUGUUUCAUUAUAAUCGAGUGAGAAGAACACGUUUGGGUGAGAAAUAUGAAGACAAUGGGAGAAAGAAAAGAGAAUUUCUGCGUCUCAGCUAUGACAUUGGUGCUGAGCCUGCAGACAAAAUACCUGGAUGAUGUGAGUAAUGCUCUUAGAUCAAUGUCUGGGAAAUAGGAGUUCCCACUGUGGCUCAGUGGUAAAGAACCCAGCUGGUAUCCCUGAGGGCUCAGGUUUGAUACCUGGCCUCAUUGGGUGGGUUAAGGAUCCAACAUUGCUGCAAGCCGUGGAAUAGUCACAAGUGCAGCUCAGAUCUGGUGUUGCUGUGGUUGUGGCAUAGGUCAGCAGCUGCAGCUCCAAUUUGGCUCCUGGCCUGGGAACUUCCAUAUGC
Molecule: long non-coding RNA, 1424 nt
Filed under: Sus scrofa (pig)
Lineage: Eukaryota; Metazoa; Chordata; Mammalia; Artiodactyla; Suidae
Description: lncRNA (ENSSSCG00055001073.1)
Source: RNAcentral